UUCACAGUUUUGGAGAGCAAGGCCCAUUAUUUAUCCUCAGAAGAGCUACAGCAUGUGCAGCAAAAGAGCUAGUUUACCCCCGGACUGCCCUGCCAAAUGUGCCUCACCCCCUGACCUGCAGAGUUCAACUCUACUGGCGAGAGGGUAGUUUUGUCUUGAUGCUUGUUCAGCCCUUGAUCUCU
Molecule: small RNA, 182 nt
Filed under: Chrysemys picta bellii (western painted turtle)
Lineage: Eukaryota; Metazoa; Chordata; Testudines; Emydidae
Description: TUC338 (ENSCPBG00000024186.1)
Source: RNAcentral